ACCCGACCCGCGCCCGCGUGCAUCCGCGUGUGAGCCGCGCCGCGCGCUUCUGCGUAGCCGAGUCGCGCCCGCGUGCAAGCCGCGCCGCCUGCACCACAACCUGAGCCGCGUCUCCCUCCUGUCGCAAGCCGAGCCGCACGCGUAAAGUUUCUAUACCGAGCCGAGUCGAGCCGCGCCUGCGCCAAGCCGAGCCGGUCCCUGUCCUUUUCCAGCCGAGCCGCCAAGACUAAUUUGGCUCCAUCCACCUAAAUUUUGGGACGUCUUGGACCAAGUAAUUGCUGCAGCGCGGGAUUUCUUCAGUAGGGGCUCGAGCACUGCAACCUCUUUCUAGGUUAGGACCUCGUCGCUUGGAAAGCAUACUGCCUCGCGGUUAGGACUCGUCAAGUAAAUCUCCAGGUAGAGGACGAGGCAAGGGCAAAGGCAAGCUGGCGAGCGACCCGAAGUGACCGUGGCGGGCCAUAGGGACUACUGCUUCCGCUUAUCUUUAUUUUAGACUUUCGUACCUGAGUUUGAG
Long non-coding RNA from Cucumis melo (muskmelon), 514 nucleotides. RefSeq lists it as uncharacterized. The transcript has 4 exons. Lineage: Eukaryota; Viridiplantae; Streptophyta; Magnoliopsida; Cucurbitales; Cucurbitaceae. The record is from RefSeq and is a predicted model, not a curated record.